UUGGUGGCGAGUGGCGGACGGGUGAGUAACGCGUAGGAAUCUACCCAAUAGCGGGGGAUAGCCCGGGGAAACUCGGAUUAAUACCGCAUACGCCCUACGGGGGAAAGGCCGGGAUCUUCGGACCGGUCGCUAUUGGAUGAGCCUGCGUUGGAUUAGCUAGUUGGUAGGGUAAAGGCUCACCAAGGCGACGAUCCUUAGCUGGUCUGAGAGGACGAUCAGCCACACUGGAACUGAGACACGGUCCAGACUCC
RNAcentral lists this ribosomal RNA (251 nucleotides) under uncultured bacterium. RNAcentral's name for it is "partial 16S ribosomal RNA". It matches the Rfam family "Bacterial small subunit ribosomal RNA", at positions 85 to 339 of the family's 1533-position model. The record is from RNAcentral.